Molecule: transfer RNA, 82 nt
Filed under: Felis catus (domestic cat)
Lineage: Eukaryota; Metazoa; Chordata; Mammalia; Carnivora; Felidae
Rfam family: tRNA
About the family: Transfer RNA (tRNA) molecules are approximately 80 nucleotides in length.
Source: Rfam by way of RNAcentral
GCCUGCGUGGCUCAGUAAGUUGAGCCUCUGACUUCACCUCAGGUCAUCUCAUGGUUCGUGGGUUCAAGUCCUACAUCGGGCU